UGAGGAAUACAUCGGAAUCUACUUUUUCGUGGGGGAUAACGUAGGGAAACUUACGCUAAUACCGCAUACGACCUACGGGUGAAAGCAGGGGAUCUUCGGACCUUGCGCGAUUGAAUGAGCCGAUGUCGGAUUAGCUAGUUGGCGGGGUAAAGGCCCACCAAGGCGACGAUCCGUAGCUGGUCUGAGAGGAUGAUCAGCCACACUGGAACUGAGACACGGUCCAGACUCCUACGGGAGGCAGCAGUGGGGAAUAUUGGACAAUGGGCGCAAGCCUGAUCCAGCCAUACCGCGUGGGUGAAGAAGGCCUUCGGGUUGUAAAGCCCUUUUGUUGGGAAAGAAAUCCAGCCGGCUAAUACCUGGUUGGGAUGACGGUACCCAAAGAAUAAGCACCGGCUAACUUCGUGCCAGCAGCCGC
Molecule: ribosomal RNA, 415 nt
Filed under: uncultured Stenotrophomonas sp.
Lineage: Bacteria; Pseudomonadati; Pseudomonadota; Gammaproteobacteria; Lysobacterales; Lysobacteraceae
Description: bacterial SSU rRNA
Rfam family: Bacterial small subunit ribosomal RNA
Source: RNAcentral